GGGCAUAUAGCUCAGUUGGUUAGAGCGCACGCCUGAUAAGCGUGAGGUCGGAAGUUCAAUUCUUCCUAUGCCCA
This 74-nucleotide transfer RNA is filed under the name Myxococcota bacterium. RNAcentral's name for it is "tRNA-Ile". It matches the Rfam family "tRNA". Rfam says of the family: Transfer RNA (tRNA) molecules are approximately 80 nucleotides in length. Their secondary structure includes four short double-helical elements and three loops (D, anti-codon, and T loops). Further hydrogen bonds mediate the characteristic L-shaped molecular structure. tRNAs have two regions of fundamental functional importance: the anti-codon, which is responsible for specific mRNA codon recognition, and the 3' end, to which the tRNAs corresponding amino acid is attached (by aminoacyl-tRNA synthetases). tRNAs cope with the degeneracy of the genetic code in two manners: having more than one tRNA (with a specific anti-codon) for a particular amino acid; and 'wobble' base-pairing, i.e. permitting non-standard base-pairing at the 3rd anti-codon position. Lineage: Bacteria; Pseudomonadati; Myxococcota. The record is from RNAcentral.